RNAcentral lists this ribosomal RNA (433 nucleotides) under uncultured bacterium. Its description in RNAcentral is "partial 16S ribosomal RNA". It matches the Rfam family "Bacterial small subunit ribosomal RNA", at positions 29 to 507 of the family's 1533-position model. The record is from RNAcentral.
AACGAACGCUGGCGGCAUGCCUAACACAUGCAAGUCGAACGAUCCCUUCGGGGUUAGUGGCGCACGGGUGCGUAACGCGUGGGAACCUGCCCUUAGGUUCGGAAUAACUCAGAGAAAUUUGAGCUAAUACCGGAUAAUGUCUUCGGACCAAAGAUUUAUCGCCUUUGGAUGGGCCCGCGUUGGAUUAGCUAGUUGGUGGGGUAAAGGCCUACCAAGGCGACGAUCCAUAGCUGGUCUGAGAGGAUGAUCAGCCACACUGGGACUGAGACACGGCCCAGACUCCUACGGGAGGCAGCAGUGGGGAAUAUUGGACACUGGGCGAAAGCCUGAUCCAGCAAUGCCGCGUGAGUGAUGAAGGCCUUAGGGUUGUAAAGCUCUUUUACCCGGGAUGAUAAUGACAGUACCGGGAGAAUAAGCCCCGGCUAACUCCGUG